Oryza nivara is the source of this 85-nucleotide non-coding RNA. NCBI's taxonomy places the organism in Eukaryota, Viridiplantae, Streptophyta, Magnoliopsida, Poales, Poaceae. The record is from Rfam.
CGGUCUUGAGGCAGGAACUGAGUAGUUGGUGAACUCGCUCUAUGUUGUUCGUUCACUCGCGACGCGGUUCCUGUCCUAAGACCGA